RNAcentral lists this long non-coding RNA (2442 nucleotides) under Eucalyptus grandis. RNAcentral's name for it is "long non-coding RNA (EGRA_LNC005140)". Lineage: Eukaryota; Viridiplantae; Streptophyta; Magnoliopsida; Myrtales; Myrtaceae. The record is from RNAcentral.
UCUCAUAUUGAAACUUAUAACCAAACUUUUAUGCAAAACACAAAUCAAAGCACUUCACAACUUUUUGCUCUAAACUCUAUUCACAUCAAUUGAAGUUCACAAAAGAAGAUGGAAUCUCAAUCCAUCCGGGUCGUACUCAAGACCCCCUUCAGAAUUAUCUUCUUCUUCCAAAAAUCAUUUUCCUCAAGUUCGCCUUCGAGUUCUCCUUCUCAGACUCCUCCUCCUCAGCUCCUCAACGGAGUCCUGAAAUGUUUUUCCCCAAACUGGGAUGAGACUACGUCUCAGCGAGUUCUACCCCACUAAGCCCGAUUAGUAAACCAUUAUACUAUAGGCUGCCUAAACACGCAUAGGGCAGAAGACUUACCUUGGCCUCAUAUUCCACCUGCAAGUCAGUACAAUUCACAUACCUUACGUAUAGAAUCGAUACAUCCAGCAAUUGAAACGCAUCACUCAACUCAACAAAUCACAAGGGUCCAGAUUAUAGGGCCAAAUCGUUAUGACACGUCCCAUUCCAUGUCACACAAUUUUGUCUCAUAAUCCGGCGCAUCAAACUCAACCAUCAUGCGUUCCAAUUGUUAAUUACACCCCUCAAGGGUACGGCCAACUCUAUUGGCGGUCUUCUGGCAUUACCAGGCGUCGUCUCUCCCCGUGAGCACGGCAACGUCUCUCAAUUAGACGGCUUCCCCGAAGGGGCGUAGGUCCAGAAUCUACUGCGACCCACUACCCUAAUGCAUGGGUAACCCGAAAAGGGAUUUAGUAACGUCCGGCAUAAUUGCUCGAGACUGGUUCUCUUAACCAACACACGACCACUCAAUAUCGGCCCAGGACCCUGUGCAUUGCACUCAAAUGCCUCCGUUAAAAUAGUGAUCCUGGCCUAUUUCCUUCGUAUUAAAAACAUCCCGAAAAUAGUCGUGUGUGGGUACACGGUCAAUUCGAACCAAAAGACUGAUACUUAUCUUUUUCAAACCCCACUAUUUGAUAUAGUACUAAAAAUCCAUUUUUGGUGUUAAAACCCGAGACCCGGGAUUUUCUGAAUAAAUAUCAAAAUCCACAAAUUUUGGAAUUAAAUACCAAGAAUCCAAUCAGCACUCCAUUUGCAUAAUUUAACACUCAAUUGCAGAACUUAACCACACCAUUUACCAAUCCACAAUUCAGUCUCAAUCAAUUCCAAUCAAUUUAGAGUAAAUCUCUAAAAUAUCACAAUUUAUUUAAUUCCAUACAACGUGUAGCUCAUAUAAAUAAACGGACUGCGCCACGACGAUCAGCACGAGAUUUUGGUCGUCGGCCAUCAAAAUCUUAAUUUCCGAAAAAUAAUUAAUUUAUUAUGAAUUUCGAAAUGAAAUAAUUAAUAUUAAAAAUUCAAUUUAGCACAAAAUAAAGCCCAAUUAAAUAAACGGACUUCACCACAGUCAUCAGCAUAAAAUUCCGAUUCCGGGACCAUCUCAGUUGAAUUUUCGGAAAAUAAAUAAAUAAUUAAUUUAAUUCCGAAAAAUGAUAUUUAAAUGCCAAAAAUCACACUUAGGCCCGAAUCGCCAAAUUGAAGCCCAAUUAGGGGUCGGAAAAUUUCCGAGAUACUUCCAAUAAAUAGUAGACCACGUCUACUUGUUAAUUGCGCAAUCAAUUUAUCUAAAUCGCAUCACAAUUGACUAAUAAUUGUUAAUUUAUUCUAAUCUAACAACCUAAACAUAAUUAAUUAAAACUAAACCAACAUUAAGGAUAAUUAGCCAACUAAUCCUGAAUUAGUGAGAUUACUCACCAAAUCGCGAGCAAAUCGGAUCAAUCCGACGACGGCGACGCGAGGAACAAAACUUCCCAAAGCGACUCGCGGAUCCGGGGCCCGGAAACGGCCCAAAAGCGGGCCCGAACCAGCUGGAAACCCAUUUCGUGGGUUGCUGGUUGGCUGCGAAACAGGGGAAAACAGAGAUGGUUAGAGGCGGAGAGGGGUCGGGAAAGCAAGAGGCAGUCCGGUGAGGCCACACGGCGGCUCCGGCGGCUUGCUCGGCCACUCACGGUGGCUGGACGAGACGGAACAGGGGCGAGAGACGCACGGGGGAGGCCUGAGCGCGAGGAAACGAGGCUGGCGGCGCACGGCGGUGAGCGGCGCGCACACGGGCGCGGGCGCAGGCGUGCGGUGCGACGACGAGACAAGCGGCGACGGUGAGCUGCAGCUUCUGGUUUGGGCUUGCUGGUUCGCACGCGACAAAGGAAGGAGAAGAAGAAGCUGGUUCUAUCGUGUGCGGGAAGGAAGAAGAGAGAGGAGAGAGAAGAGAGGGGAGAGGAUAUGCAUUGACCGGUCAAAAAGGGAAGGGAGAGAGAAUAGGCGGUGGGGGAAAAAGAAUUCGCACGAGGGGGAAGGGAAAAGGGAAAGGAGAGAGAGAGAAAAGAGAAAAGAAAGAGAAUAAAGAAAAGAAGAGAGAGGGAGAGAGGGAAAUAAAAUAUUAC